Molecule: non-coding RNA, 68 nt
Organism: Pangasius djambal
Lineage: Eukaryota; Metazoa; Chordata; Actinopteri; Siluriformes; Pangasiidae
Source: the annotation of a GenBank genome assembly
GGCAUGGUGGCUUAGUGGUUAGCACUAUUGCCUCGCACCAGUUGGGGGUUCGAAUCCCACCUCUGCUC